CUCUGCAACUUUUUCAACUCUCUGAUUUUUAAAUAAAUCCUCAAAUCCAUCUGGCGAUCAUUAUUUUUGCUUGAUGAAUUAAGCUGCCAUCUUUUCUCUCUGGGUCUUCAGAAUUUGAGCUGACUUUGCUAAAAGGUGCGAUCUUUCUUCUCUGGGUCUUCAGAAUCUGAGCUAACUUAGCCAAAGUUACGAUCUUUUCUCUCUGGGUCGUCCUCACUUGAGCUGACUUUGCCAAAGUUUCGAUCUUUCUUAUCUGGGUCGUCGGAGUUUGAGCUAAAGUUUCGAUCUUUCUUCUCUGGGUCGUCGUAAUUUGAGCUAGAAUCAUGGGAAAUUGCUUUGC
Long non-coding RNA from Brassica napus (rape), 340 nucleotides. RefSeq lists it as uncharacterized. NCBI's taxonomy places the organism in Eukaryota, Viridiplantae, Streptophyta, Magnoliopsida, Brassicales, Brassicaceae. The record is from RefSeq and is a predicted model, not a curated record. The transcript is spliced from 2 exons.